AGAGUUUGAUCCUGGCUCAGGAUGAACGCUGGCGGUAUGCCUAACACAUGCAAGUCGAACGAUGUCUUCGGACAUAGUGGCGGACGGGUGAGUAACGCGUGAGAAUCUGCCUCUAGGAUGGGGAUAACGGUUGGAAACGACCGCUAACACCCAAUAUGCCGUAAGGUGAAAAAUUUAUUGCCUGGAGAGGAGCUCGCGUCUGAUUAGCUAGUUGGUGGGGUAAGAGCUCACCAAGGCUUCGAUCAGUAGCUGGUCUGAGAGGAUGAGCAGCCACACUGGGACUGAGACACGGCCCAGACUCCUACGGGAGGCAGCAGUGGGGAAUUUUCCGCAAUGGGCGAAAGCCUGACGGAGCAAUACCGCGUGAGGGAGGAAUGCCUUUGGGUUGUAAACCUCUUUUCUCAGGGAAGAAGAUCUGACGGUACCUGAGGAAUAAGUAUCGGCUAACUCCGUGCCAGCAGCCGCGGUAAUACGGAGGAUGCAAGCGUUAUCCGGAAUCAUUGGGCGUAAAGCGUCCGCAGGUGGUUUCCAAAGUCUGCUGUUAAAGACUGGAGCUCAACUCCGGAACGGCGGUGGAAACUUGGAAACUAGAGUUCGGUAGGGGUAGCAGGAAUUCCCAGUGUAGCGGUGAAAUGCGUAGAUAUUGGGAAGAACAUCGGUGGCGAAGGCGUGCUACUGGACCGUAACUGACACUCAGGGACGAAAGCUAGGGGAGCGAAAGGGAUUAGAUACCCCUGUAGUCCUAGCCGUAAACGAUGGAAACUAGGUGUGGCUUGUAUCGACCCGAGCCGUGCCGUAGCUAACGCGUUAAGUUUCCCGCCUGGGGAGUACGCACGCAAGUGUGAAA
This 847-nucleotide ribosomal RNA is filed under the name uncultured marine microorganism. Its description in RNAcentral is "bacterial SSU rRNA". It matches the Rfam family "Bacterial small subunit ribosomal RNA", at positions 8 to 899 of the family's 1533-position model. The record is from RNAcentral.